Molecule: long non-coding RNA, 933 nt
Filed under: Prunus dulcis (almond)
Lineage: Eukaryota; Viridiplantae; Streptophyta; Magnoliopsida; Rosales; Rosaceae
Description: sRNA ncRNA
Source: RNAcentral
CACCGCCGCUUCCACACAACUAUGAAGCUAUUUUGAGAGAAGCUGACUCACCCAUCAACAAAUCCUCAGUGGAAAAACUCCUUGAACAGCUCCGUGCUGGAAUAACCUUAAACCAAAAGAGAAAGGUAACCCCAGCAUCAGAAAUUCAAACACUAUGCUCAGAUGAUUUAGUUUUGUGAAAUGUGAUAUUCCAGUUCGUGCCGAAAUUCAGCUCCAAAUCAAAAUAUAUUGGGCUUUCAAUUUGAUUUAAAGAAGGGAAACUUGUAGUUGUAAGUGAACUUAGAAACCAGCCAUCUUUGGUUAUGUCAUUAUUCUGUUAUUGCAGAAGUAUUGGGUUGACAAGAAGUCCAACAACUGCUUUAUGGUGUAUGCAAGGGAUCUCUCGAUCUCUUGGGCUGAAGACGAUCGUAACUGGCUCUGGCCCUCCCUGCAAGAAACCAGGUACCAAAAACUUCAAUACAUAACUUAUUGGUUUCUCAGUUUCUCCAGUCCUAUUGAAGUUGAAACAGAUAAACGCAAUAUACACAAAAAAUAAUAAUAAUUAAAUAAUAAUCAUAAAAUGCUAUCAGUACUCUCAAUCCUAACUCAGGUUUCAUUGCAGUGGUGUCUUCAUUGAUGCUGCUGAAAUGAUUAAUGAAUGUUGGCUAGAAGUGCAUGGACAAUUUGAGACUACAAAGCUGUCACCAGGAACUCUGUAUGAAGUUGCGUUUGUGGUCAAGCUGAAAGCUUCAGCUGAUGGAUGGGAUGUUCCAGUGAAUGUCAGUCUCACUCUUCCAGAUGGUAGCAAACAAUGGCAUGAAGUUAAGUUGAAGGAAAUCCCAAGAGAGCAAUGGAAAGAGAUUUUGGUUGGCGAGUUUAGAGCAUCACCCGAAAUACCUGGUGACAUGGAGUUUUCGAUGUAUGAAUAUGACAGUGGGAAAUGGAAUAGAGGAC